RNAcentral lists this unclassified non-coding RNA (324 nucleotides) under Hevea brasiliensis (rubber tree). Lineage: Eukaryota; Viridiplantae; Streptophyta; Magnoliopsida; Malpighiales; Euphorbiaceae. The record is from RNAcentral.
CUUUAGCUGUGAUUACUAAGGCUAAAGGUGCAAAUGUGUAUUCGUGGGAUGAUAAAAGGGGGUUUUUAUGCUUUGGGAGGCAGAAGAGGGUUUGUAUCUUCAGACAUGAUGGGGGGAGAGGAUUUGUGGAGGUGAAAGAAUUUGGAGUUCCUGACACAGUCAAGUCGAUGUCUUGGUGUGGUGAGAAUAUCUGCUUGGGGAUUAGAAGAGAGUACAUGAUAUUGAAUACUACCAAUGGUGCAUUGUCUGAGGUGUUUCCUUCGGGGAGGAUCGCCACACCUCUUGUGGUGCCUCUUCCCUCUGGAGAACUUCUUUUGGGCAAGG